AACGAACGCUGGCGGCAUGCCUAACACAUGCAAGUCGAACGAAACCUUCGGGUCUAGUGGCGCACGGGUGCGUAACGCGUGGGAACCUGCCCUUAGGUUCGGAAUAACUCCCCGAAAGGGGUGCUAAUACCGGAUAAUGUCUUCGGACCAAAGAUUUAUCGCCUUUGGAUGGGCCCGCGUUGGAUUAGCUAGUUGGUAGGGUAAAAGCCUACCAAGGCGACGAUCCAUAGCUGGUCUGAGAGGAUGAUCAGCCACACUGGGACUGAGACACGGCCCAGACUCCUACGGGAGGCAGCAGUGGGGAAUAUUGGACAAUGGGCGAAAGCCUGAUCCAGCAAUGCCGCGUGAGUGAUGAAGGCCUUAGGGUUGUAAAGCUCUUUUACCCGGGAUGAUAAUGACAGUACCGGGAGAAUAAGCUCCGGCUAACUACGUG
This 433-nucleotide ribosomal RNA is filed under the name uncultured bacterium. Its description in RNAcentral is "partial 16S ribosomal RNA". It matches the Rfam family "Bacterial small subunit ribosomal RNA", at positions 29 to 507 of the family's 1533-position model. The record is from RNAcentral.